This 377-nucleotide ribosomal RNA is filed under the name uncultured eukaryote. Its description in RNAcentral is "partial 18S ribosomal RNA". It matches the Rfam family "Eukaryotic small subunit ribosomal RNA", at positions 592 to 976 of the family's 1831-position model. The record is from RNAcentral.
CAAUAGCGUAUAUUUAAGUUGCUGCAGUUAAAAAGCUCGUAGUUGGAUUUCGGGUGGGAAUGGCCGGUCCGCCGUUUCGGUGUGCACUUGCUACGCCCACCUUGCUGCCGGGGACGUGCUCUUGAGUUCACGCACGGGACACGGAGUCGGCGAGGUUACUUUGAGUAAAUUAGAGUGUUCAAAGCAGGCCUACGCUCUGAAUACAUUAGCAUGGAAUAACACGAUAGGACUCUGGCCUAUCUUGUUGGUCUGUAGGACCGGAGUAAUGAUUAAGAGGGACAGUCGGGGGCAUUCGUAUUUCAUUGUCAGAGGUGAAAUUCUUGGAUUUAUGAAAGACGAACUACUGCGAAAGCAUUUGCCAAGGAUGUUUUCAUUAA